UACGGAGGAUGCGAGCGUUAUCCGGAUUUAUUGGGUUUAAAGGGUGCGUAGGCGGGAUGCCAAGUCAGCGGUAAAAAUGCGGUGCUCAACGCCGUCGAGCCGUUGAAACUGGCGUUCUUGAGUGGGCGAGAAGUGUGCGGAAUGCGUGGUGUAGCGGUGAAAUGCAUAGAUAUCACGCAGAACUCCGAUUGCGAAGGCAGCAUACCGGCGCCCUACUGACGCUGAGGCACGAAAGCGUGGGUAUCGAACAGG
This 252-nucleotide ribosomal RNA is filed under the name uncultured bacterium. RNAcentral describes it as "partial 16S ribosomal RNA". It matches the Rfam family "Bacterial small subunit ribosomal RNA", at positions 524 to 776 of the family's 1533-position model. The record is from RNAcentral.